This 5641-nucleotide long non-coding RNA is filed under the name Nicotiana tabacum (common tobacco). RNAcentral describes it as "long non-coding RNA (NTAB_LNC009290)". Lineage: Eukaryota; Viridiplantae; Streptophyta; Magnoliopsida; Solanales; Solanaceae. The record is from RNAcentral.
AGAUGUAAUAACUAAUACAUGUAUUAGUAAUACAUCGAUAACAUAUUGAAAUGACAAAUCUACCCAUAUCAUUUUACACAUAAAGGCUUCCUUCUAUAGAUUGAUAUGUAUCAAACCCUUUUGAGAACAAGCAUGGAGAUACUGAUGCCUCACUGCUAGUCUCUUCCUCUUCUCAAUCUAUUAUAGACAAAAUAAGUAAAUAAGUAUUUUACUUUAAAAUUUAUAUAAUGUAUAUCAAUUUCUAAUCCAACAAAGCAAAUAUUCAAAAAAAAAAUCUCAACGCAACUAAUUUAUGUAUAACUAAUACCUGCAUAACUAAUACAUGCAUAACUCUAACUGGCAACCAAACGACCCCUUAGAUCAUAAAGUAAAGGUACGUAAGAGAGAGAAGAUCUCAACUUACCUAGCCUUAGACCUAUUUUUAUUGCAAAAAAAUAUAAAAAUUGCUAUUGCGACUAUACCUCCUGCUUUGUCAUGUAUACUACGAAGAAUGACAUGGAUCAGUAUCAUUUUUGAUACUAAAUUAAUAACUUGUAUAUAUUUAAUAUUUAACCCGUAAGACACACUAGCUCUGCCCCUACUAAUCAAUAUUGUGACUACAUGUGAGUUCUUUCCUUAUUUGUUUCAAUAUAUUCAACAUAAUCUCAGCGACAAUGAUUAACAAUGGAAAACUGUAAAAUUCUGCACACUUAGCUCAUAUUCAGCUCAAGCUUUCUACUCUACAUUAAUAGAGAUGUAGAGAAUAAGAAGAAGAAGAGCUUCUGUGAAGCUUCGAGAACACAACAGAAAAUGAAAAUGAAUGAGCUUAACUUCUCAUUGAUUUAAUCCUCUAUUUAUACAAGCAGCUAACUCCUACAUCUAACUGACAGCUCAUUGAUAGCUGUCCAAAUUACCACUAACUAACUAAGUACCCUUCCAAUAAUUAGUUACAUAACUAACUCUAGUUUAACUCCUAACUGCUUCUACUUAACCUUGAUUCCCAGAACAGCUUCAAGUUUUCCCAUCUCGAACACUCUCCCUUAAGCUGGUAGGUGCAAAAAUAUUGAGCACUCCCAGCUUGGACAUCAAGUACUCAUGCUGCAACCUCAGUAGCCCCUUUGUCAAGAUAUCUGCUUGUUGAUCUUUUGAACUCAUAUGCAUUAUUUUCACCAGUCCUUGUUGUAGCUUUUCCCUGAUAAAGUAACAAUCUAUUUCAAUAUAUUUCGUUCUUUCAUGAUAUAUUAGAUUUGCAGUAAAUUGCAGAGCUGCCUUAUUAUCACAGAACAAUUCAACUGGAAGCUUCGCUUCUGCACCAAGCUCUUUAAACAAGCCUGUCAACCAAAUAAGUUCCGCUAUUGUCCAAGCCAUGCUCAUGUAUUCUGCUUCUGCAGAGCUUCUUGAAACUAUAUUUUGCUUCUUAGACUUCUAGGAUAUAAGAGAAUUGCCAUGCUUAACAAGAAACCCUGUGACUGAUCUUCUUGUGUUAGGACAUGAAGCCCAAUCAGCAUCACAAUAUGCACUUAGUGUAUUGCUCCUUUGACUGCUCAUGAGGAUUCCCAAGCCUGGUUCCUUCUUGACAUAUCUGACCACUCUCAAUGUUGCUUCCCAGUGACUUCUUUUGGGUUGUUGCAUGAAUUGACUAAGUUUUUGGACUGCAAAGGAUAUGUCUGGUCUUGUCAAUGUUAAGCAUAACAACUUCCCAAUCAGUCUUUGAUACUUGCCCCUGUCCUCUAGUUGCUCAUAACCUUCUAAGCCUGCAAUAUCAUCCAACUCUUUGAGAGUAUACUUAUAGUUAUAUUCUAAUGGGGUAAAAGCUGGUUUAGAGGCACUUAGCCCCAUCUCUUCAAUGAGUUCUAGUGAAUACUUCCUUUGAUUCACCAAAAUGCCUCUCUUUGACCUGCUGAACUCCAUCCCCAAAAAAUACCUCAACUCACCAAGGUCUUUCAUCUUGAAGGCCUGCUGCAAUUUCUGCUUUGUUUCUUCUAUCAACUGGAGAUUAUUCCCAGUGGUUAGCAUGUCAUCCACGUAAACAAGAAUAACAAUGAUAUUGGUUCCUAUCUUCUGUGUAAAAAAGAGAGUGAUCAAGAGUGCUUUGCAUGAAUCCCUGAGCUGUAAGUGCUUCUGUGAGUUAAACAUUCCAUUGUCUACUUGCUUGCUUCAGGCCAUAUAAGGAUUUAACAAGCUGACAUACCACUGGAGUCUUCCCCUAGCUUGUAAAACCCUCAGGCAGUUGCAUGUAGACCUCAUCAGGUAAGUCACCCGGCAAGAAAGCAUUGUACAUAUCUAUUUGAUGGAUGUGCCACCCUUCCAUUAUAGCUAAUGACAUGACUGAUCUCACAAUGACUAUUUUCAAAACUGGGGAGAAUGUCUCAUUGUAAUCAAGCCCCUCCUGUUGAUUAUAGCCUUUAGCUACCAAUCGAGCCUUGAACCUUUCAACCUCACCAUUAGCUUUGUAUUUGACUUUAAACACCCACUUGCAGCUAAUAAGGAUCUUCCCAUCAGGUAAGGAAACCAACUUCCAGGUGUGGUUAUCUUCCAAAGCUUAAAUUUCAGCUCAUAUGGCCUCUACCCACCUUGGAUCUUUGGAAGCCUCAUGAAAUGUUUUAGGUUCCACAAUUGAAGUGAAAAUUGCUAUGUAGUUCUUGUAUGAUGGCUGUAGAGAAGAGUAAUUUACUGAGUGAUCAAUAAGAUAGGGGAUGGUUGAAGUAGUGAUGGUAGGUGUAGUGAUGUAGUCUGAUAGCCAUCCUGGAGAUUUCUUUGUCCUAGUAGACUUUCUGAAAUUUUGUAAAGCUUCAGAAGUUGAAUUAUGGGAUAAGUCUUCUUGCUGAUCUUCAGAAGCUGCAGGUUGAUCUUCAUUCUGAUGCAUCAGUUCAUGAUGGGAGUGACUUUCAUGUUGUUGUUGAGCAACAUCUUCAUGAGUUUCCUUAUGGUGAGCAUGUGAUUCCUCCUCUUGAAUUGUCAAGUCCUCUUCUUGUACUUAUGUCAGCUCAUUUGCUGUGUAGCCUAGGCUUGGAUCACUGUUUGGUUCAACUUCUGAGAACAAUGAUGAAUGUGUAGCUGGCUUGUGCUUGAAAGAAAAAAUAUGUUCCUUGAAAUGAACAUCCCUAUUUAUAAAGAACACACGAUUAGUGAGGUCAUAUAGUAUGUACCCUUUGCUGACUGCUGAGUAUCCCAUCAUAACUCCUGCAGCUGCUCUUGCUACAAAUUUGUCAUGGUUAUGGACCUUCUUGGCAAAACAAAAGCAUUAUAUUACUCUUAAAUUAUCCAGUUUUGGUUUUCUUUUAUAAAAAAACUCAUAAGAUGACUUCCCUCCUAAAACAACUGAUGACAUUUUGUUAAUCAAAUAUACUGCAGCUAGAACACAGUGUCCCCAAAACUUCAGAGGAAUACCUCCUUGAAACCUAACUUCUCUUGCUAUUUCUAGAAUGUGUCUGUAUUUCCUCUCAGCAAUCUCAUUCUGUUGAGGAGUAUAAAUACAUGUUCUCUGAUGUAUUAUCCCUAAAGAUUGAAAUAAAUGGAAACAAUUGGUGUUGAUGAACUCUCCACCAUUAUCAGAUCUUAAUAUCUUGAUUGUUUUCCCAAAUUGAGUUUUAACCAAUGAAAAGAAAUUCCUCAGCAUCACAAUUACAUCACUUUUAAGUUUGAGUAAAACAACCAAGUAGUUCUCGAACAAUCACCCACAAUAGUCAGAAAUAUUUUAUUUCCAUCAACUGUAGGUACAUUGUAAGGUCCCCACACAUCAACGUGUAACAACUCAAAAAUAUCAGAAGACCUACUUGUACUGUUGUGAAAUGGUAGUCUAGUAUGCCUUGCUAAAGGGCAGAUUGUACAGCUAUCUAUUGCUACUUUACAUUCUUCUUGUCCCAGACCUAAGAUCUGCUUUAUGGCUACUGCUGAUGCAUGCCCAAGCCUUCUGUGCCACAAUCCAAUAUUUAAAUUCUCCUUUAUUCCAGUCAAUCCUCUUGCUAUAGUGUUGUUGUUAUUGAUAGAUUUUUGAAGGAACAGAUAAAGUCCUUCACUUUCUCUACCAAUCCCCUUCACCAUUCCACUGUAGAGGUCCUGGAAUAUACAGAAAUGUGGAAAGAAUCAUACUGAGCAUUGCAGCUUGGUAAUUUAGAGACUGACAGAAGAUUAUACCUAAAUUCUGGUAUAUACAGGACAUCAUCUAUUUUAAUGUUUAUCAGCCAAUCUACAGGAUCCAAGAUGUGUCACAACUGUAGUCUCAUCAUUUGGCAAAUAUAUCCUUUUUCUUUCAUUCUUAUCACUUUUCCUUUUUGUACUCAACAUGUUUAAGUCAGCUACCAUAUGAUUUGUGGCUCCAGAAUCAACAAUCCAAUAUUUUAUGUGUGCAUCUGCUAGAAAAGCAUUAAUAGUACCAGCCAUGUUGGCCAUUCCAACUGAAUUUGAACUUUCACAUAUGCCAUCCUUGCUGAGCAGCUUCAGUAUUUGAUUAUAUUGUUCUUGUGUGAAGUACGGUCUUUAGAUCCCAUAUGUGGUGUUGAGUUUGUCUGCUCCUCAAUCAGUAUUUUCCAAUGCAUCAUGCCUUCCUUGAUCCUCCACUACAGCAUUCUGAGCAGCUCCAACACCAGGCUUCUUUCUAUACUUAAAGUCAGCAAGAUAUACUAUCAACUUGUAGCAUCCUUCACGAGUGUGCCCUUUGAGUUUGCAAUAAUCACAGUACAAGUAGUAGUUCUUUUUCCCUUUCUGAGCAGGAUUAUUGGCCCUUGUUGUCAUGAGUGCUUUCACCUCUCCAGUAUCAGCAUUUACCAUGCUCCUCUGGCUUUCCCUUUCCAUCAAUAUCGAGUAGGUUUUGUUGAUUAUAGGCACUGACACUAUCAUUAGAAGCUGGCUCCUUGCCUGUUCAUAGGACUCAUUGAGUCCUAUUAGAAACUGUAACAGCUUCAGCCUCUCCAUAGACACUACAAAUUCACGUGAUUUGGCACAAUCACAUCCAGGAAUUGGAGCUAGCCUGUCAAACUCAACCCACAACAGACGCAACUUUGAGAAAUAAGCAGAAAUAGAACUGGUUCCCUGAGUUAUAGUAGCAAUUUCCUUUUGUAUUUGAAAAAUCCUAGAGCAAUCAAUUUUGUUAAAUCGUUCCUUCAAAUCUCCCCAAACUGAGGAGGCAUUUGUCGAGUACACUAUUCUACUGUACAGUUCCUUCGACACAUAAUUCAUGAUCCACGAUAGAAUAAUAGCAUUGCGUCUCCCCAAGAAAUCAACUAAAUUUGGCCCAAAAUCCUCUCUUUUACAGGUGCCGUCUAUGAACCCUAGUUUGUUCCUUCCUAGGAUUGCAAUUCUCAUAGCUCGACUCUAAACAAAGUUAUUUUUUGGCCCAGUCAAUUGAAGAGAAACAAAUAAUAUACCUGAAGUGUUAGUAGAAUGCAGGAACAACGGAUGAUUGUGACUCAACUUUUUCGGCUCAGUAUCGUCAACCGCCAUAUUUUAAUUUGUGAUUGCUCCGAAGAAAAUGAAAUUUGAAGAAUUGGAUCGAAGAUACAACUGCACUAACAAUCGUGAAGCUCUGAUACCAUGUGAAAUUCUGCACACUCAGCUCAUAUUCAACUCAAGCUUUCUACUCUACAUCAAUGGAGAUGCAGAGAAGAAGAAGAGCUUCUGUGAAGCUUCGAGAACAUAACAGAAAAUGAAAAUGAAUGAGCUU